UACAGAGGUCUCAAGCGUUGUUCGGAUUCAUUGGGCGUAAAGGGUGCGUAGGUGGCGGGGUAAGUCUGGUGUGAAAUCUCGGAGCUCAACUCCGAAACUGCACUGGAUACUGCCUUGCUCGAGUACUGGAGAGGAGAUUGGAAUUUACGGUGUAGCAGUGAAAUGCGUAGAUAUCUGGAGGAACACCGGUGGCGA
RNAcentral lists this ribosomal RNA (195 nucleotides) under uncultured prokaryote. RNAcentral describes it as "partial 16S ribosomal RNA". It matches the Rfam family "Bacterial small subunit ribosomal RNA", at positions 524 to 718 of the family's 1533-position model. The record is from RNAcentral.